GACGAACGCUGGCGGCGUGCCUAAUACAUGCAAGUAGAACGCACAGUUUAUACCGUAGCUUGCUACACCAUAGACUGUGAGUUGCGAACGGGUGAGUAACGCGUAGGUAACCUGCCUGGUAGCGGGGGAUAACUAUUGGAAACGAUAGCUAAUACCGCAUAAUAUUAAUUAUUGCAUGAUAAUUAAUUGAAAGGUGCAAUUGCACCACUACCAGAUGGACCUGCGUUGUAUUAGCUAGUAGGUGAGGUAACGGCUCACCUAGGCGACGAUACAUAGCCGACCUGAGAGGGUGAUCGGCCACACUGAGACUGAGACACGGCCCAGACUCCUACGGGAGGCAGCAGUAGGGAAUCUUCGGCAAUGGACGAAAGUCUGACCGAGCAACGCCGCGUGAGUGAAGAAGGUUUUCGGAUCGUAAAGCUCUGUUGUAAGAGAAGAACGGGUGUGAGAGUGGAAAGUUCACACUGUGACGGUAUCUUACCAGAAAGGGACGGCUAACUACGUG
Molecule: ribosomal RNA, 505 nt
Filed under: uncultured bacterium
Lineage: Bacteria
Description: partial 16S ribosomal RNA
Rfam family: Bacterial small subunit ribosomal RNA
Source: RNAcentral